GGAUAACCUGCCCUUGGGUCCGGCAUAACCCCGGGAAACCGGGGAUAAUUCCGGAUAACGCAUAUAUGCUGGAAUGCUUUAUGCGUCAAAUGGAUUCGUCUGCCCAAGGAUGGGUCUGCGGCCUAUCAGGUAGUAGUGGGUGUAAUGUACCUACUAGCCGACGACGGGUACGGGUUGUGAGAGCAAGAGCCCGGAGAUGGAUUCUGAGACAUGAAUCCAGGCCCUACGGGGCGCAGCAGGCGCGAAAACUUUACAAUGCGGGAAACCGUGAUAAGGGGACACCGAGUGCCAGCAUCAUAUGCUGGCUGUCCAGGUGUGUAAAAUACACCUGUUAGCAAGGGCCGGGCAAGACCGGUGCCAGCCGCCGCGGUAACACCGGCGGCCCGAGUGGUGAUCGUGAUUAUUGGGUCUAAAGGGUCCGUAGCCGGUUUGGUCAGUCCUCCGGGAAAUCUGAUAGCUCAACUAUUAGGCUUUCGGGGGAUACUGCCAGACUUGGAACCGGGAGAGGUAAGAGGUACUACAGGGGUAGGAGUGAAAUCUUGUAAUCCCUGUGGGACCACCUGUGGCGAAGGCGUCUUACCAGAACGGGUUCGACGGUGAGGGACGAAAGCUGGGGGCACGAACCGGAUUAGAUACCCGGGUAGUCCCAGCCGUAAACGAUGCUCGCUAGGUGUCAGGCAUGGCGCGACCGUGUCUGGUGCCGCAGGGAAGCCGUGAAGCGAGCCACCUGGGAAGUACGGCCGCAAGGCUGAAACUUAAA
Molecule: ribosomal RNA, 760 nt
Filed under: uncultured archaeon
Lineage: Archaea
Description: bacterial SSU rRNA
Rfam family: Archaeal small subunit ribosomal RNA
Source: RNAcentral